This 253-nucleotide ribosomal RNA is filed under the name uncultured bacterium. RNAcentral describes it as "partial 16S ribosomal RNA". It matches the Rfam family "Bacterial small subunit ribosomal RNA", at positions 524 to 776 of the family's 1533-position model. The record is from RNAcentral.
UACAGAGGGUGCGAGCGUUAAUCGGAAUUACUGGGCGUAAAGCGCACGUAGUCGGCUUUGCAAGUCGGUUGUGAAAUCUCCGGGCUUAACCCGGAAAGGUCAGCCGAUACUGCGGGGCUAGAGUGCAGAAGGGGCAACUGGAAUUCUCGGUGUAGCGGUGAAAUGCGUAGAUAUCGAGAGGAACACCUGCGGCGAAGGCGGGUUGCUGGGCUGACACUGACGCUGAUGCGCGAAAGCUAGGGGAGCGAACGGG